RNAcentral lists this ribosomal RNA (124 nucleotides) under Triops cancriformis. The record is from RNAcentral. Lineage: Eukaryota; Metazoa; Arthropoda; Branchiopoda; Notostraca; Triopsidae.
GCCAACGGCCAUACCACGCAGAAUGUUCCCAGACUCUUGUCAGCUCCUGGAAGUCAAGCUGCGUCGGGCCCGGUCAGAACUUGGAUGGGUGACCGCCUGGGAACACCGGGUGCCAUUGGCUUUU